AUUGAACGCUGGCGGCAGGCCUAACACAUGCAAGUCGAACGGUAGCACAGAGAGCUUGCUCUCGGGUGACGAGUGGCGGACGGGUGAGUAAUGUCUGGGAAACUGCCUGAUGGAGGGGGAUAACUACUGGAAACGGUAGCUAAUACCGCAUAACGUCGCAAGACCAAAGAGGGGGACCUUCGGGCCUCUUGCCAUCAGAUGUGCCCAGAUGGGAUUAGCUAGUAGGUGGGGUAACGGCUCACCUAGGCGACGAUCCCUAGCUGGUCUGAGAGGAUGACCAGCCACACUGGAACUGAGACACGGUCCAGACUCCUACGGGAGGCAGCAGUGGGGAAUAUUGCACAAUGGGCGCAAGCCUGAUGCAGCCAUGCCGCGUGUAUGAAGAAGGCCUGGUGUAAGUAUUACUAGCGGGAGGAAGGUAGGUUGGUGGUUAGUAACGUACAACGAC
Molecule: ribosomal RNA, 448 nt
Filed under: uncultured bacterium
Lineage: Bacteria
Description: bacterial SSU rRNA
Rfam family: Bacterial small subunit ribosomal RNA
Source: RNAcentral